CACAUACACACACACACUCUUUCUUUUUUGGCUAAACCACUGAAACUAAGUGGUAUACAUCCUGACACUUCAUCCUAUACUUCAGCAUGCAUCUCCUAAGAAUAAAGAUGUUCUAUAUAACCACAGCACUAUUUAUUAUCACAAACAUCUAAGAAAUUAACAUUAAUCAAAUAAUACCAUCUAAUCUACAGCCCCUAUUUAAAUUUUUGCAAUUGCCCUAAAAAUAAUUUCUUUUGUUGUUGUUUCUUUUUUUUCCCCAAAAAUCUAGGAUCUUAUCAAGGUAUAUGUAUUGCAUUUGGUUGGAAUACCGCCAUCCUAUUUCAGCACCUCUGAUUCUCAAUAAAUUCUUCCCAACGUUAAGCCAGCAUCACCUCCUUGUACAUUUCACCUCUUGGCAUUCUCCAGUGGUUCUCAACAAAUCCCUAACAUCAUACGUGCAAAGCUGAGUAGUCUGUUUUCUGCGACAAGAUUGAAAAAUCAGAGGUCAAUACUUAGCUCAUUUCAGACUUACAUUCUAAGAAAGUCCUAUAGCAAAGGUCUCAAAUCAGUGGCCUGCGGGUUGCAUCCAGACAACAGAUACGUAUUGUUUGUUCCACUCACUGCAUGUGUGCACACAUGUGUGUGUUUAAUAGGAAUUCGUUGCCAGAAUUUAAAAAUUAGGAGUUUUUUUUUUUAAAGAUCUGGAUUUCUGGUUCUUCUUUAAAAAUGAAAUCAGAAGAAUUGGUAGCACCGGGCCCAUAUUCCCAAAAAGCACAAUGGUAACGCUGGCCCCAUAUUCCCAGAAAGCACAACUGGCUGAAAUUAAGUAGCAGCUGCUUCCUUUAGGUAGGCCUGGGCCCCAUUUCCUUAGUCCACAAGAUGGAUAAUGUCUCCUAGCCUCAGUUGUCAUCUUUCAUUGUGAUGUCACUGUUACUUUUCUUACAGCUGGUCUCCUCUCAUGCCUGUAACCUGCCUGGUCUCCGCAGGCAUUGGUAUAACCCGUGCCGUGUGCUAUUUUACAAUAUUCCCAGCACCUUCACAUCACCAUCUUCUUCUUGAACAAAUUCCAUGAGAUAAGUAGCACUGUUAUUACUUUCUCCAUUUUCCAGAGGAGAAGACCAAGGUUAAAACACGCAGUUCCCCUGUAAUAAGAGAAUAAUUUACUGAGAUAUGGAAAUCUGGGGAACAAUGAAAUGUGCAGCACUUCUGAUGCAGAUGAAAAGAUUCUUUCAGAGACAGUCGCCAGAAGCGUGUGGAAUCUAACUCUGCUGUUGCGAAGGGACACCUAUUUUAAGUGAUGUUACAUCAUUUUCAUUAAGCUUAUUGUGGAUGGACUUGAAUGGAUCCUUCAGUUGGUUGCCAUGGAAACCAUGAACUAGUGAAGGCAGUCUAAUAGCCCAGGUCACGUGAAUUUAAAAGAAAGAAACUUUUGAAAAUACCUCACUGAAGAAUUUCAGGCAUGAGAAGAAGGAUAAAUUAUUCAAGGUGCUUACGAAUUCCAUCUGAGAAGCACAUGCUAAUCAGAAAUCAUGUCUGAAGGCAGAGGCCAAGUGAGUGAACCCUCAUUCCUUCCUGUUUAGCUCGAAUGCCUGCGUGGAACUGAAACGAGGACCUCAGGCCUCAGGUCUUCCGAGGCUAAGUUAUUGCAAAGAGAUAAAGGAGCUUUUGUCUUCUUCUUAGCUAAACACGAUCUGGUUACAGGCUCCUCUCCCUGGUUUCCCUCCGCUAUAUGGAACAUUUGCUUAUGUAAAAAUAUAAUCAACAGAGAUUCACAAAGACUUUCUUGUCUACUGAGGUGGAACAGAGAUUGCAGGCUUCACCCCCAGACUCAACUUGGCUUACGUGUUCUUGCUCAGAUAAUUAACUCUCCAAUUAAACUCAGGUCUGGAAAACAAGGCCACAGAGUCCUCUGAAAUGUUGAAGCCAGAAACAAAUGGACAUGGUCAACAGUCAGGGAACACAGUGUCCAGGACAGUCAAAUAUAGAAGCUUUCAGGGCCAAAAAAUUCACCGAAUCUCCUGAGUGAUUUAUUUUACAAUCUAGACAAGUUUUAGGAUAAAGAUUUUAAAACUCAUUUAUUUUUAGCUAAACCUCCCUCCUUUCAGAAGGAAAGGACAUACUCCCUGGCCAGUGACCGUGAGAGGAAGUCAAACUCCCUAUAAGGUACCAAGAAUGGAUAACAGAAAACACAAAAGAUCUAGACAUCCACAAACGCGAGUUCUAAUCCAGUUCUCUUCCAGCAACUAGGCGCCAAAGAAGAGAUUAAGAAAAAUUCAUACAACAAACUGGGACCUGAGGCCACAAAGCAAAUGCUGCGCUCAUUUGAUGGACAUCUGGAGCACCAAAAUGAAACCCUGAGAUGGGAGACGAUGUAGAAUUCACUCAAGAUGUGGCUGUCACCCAAAGGCAAAACUGCUUUAGAAAAGAAGCCAAGCAAUUCCAGUUUAACACUGAAGUUUUCAUUAUUUCAAAAGCUCUGGAAUCUAAAUCCUGCCCCUCAAAACCUAAAUACAUGCAUUUUUACAGUGUAAUCAUACAAACCUAUUCAGCUGCCUUAAAUAUUUCUGACAAGGUGGGGAAACAGUCGACGGGCAACUGGGUGAACGAUCCUUGCUUUCCCUUGCCACGGGCGUAGGGGAAAGGCCAUUUUACAUUUUAAAAAUUAUUGGUUUGAUGAAAUCAAAGAAUGAAAUAUUUUGACUAGAUUUUCCUGGUUUGGGCUGCUAAAUAAUUGCCCCUCCCAAUCAUCCCCCCAAAAUCUAAGCUCUAAAUUCCACUCAAUUUUACUUGGUUUGGAAUUACCAUGUUUUGGAGAAAAAGUAACACUUUCACUCUGUACUUUUGCCAAAACUAAUAAUGAUAGUUGACAUGGAUUGAUCAAAAAUACGCAAGGCACUGCAUUGAGGGCUUUGAAUGUAUUUACACACAUCGUCUUCACAGCAAACCCAAUAAGGUGGAUACUAUUAUUAUUAUUCUCAUUUUACAGAUGUGGGAGCUGAGGUACAGGAUGCUUAAGUUACUUGCUCAAGAUCAGGCUGCUUUUAAGUCAAUUCAAUUUGACUCCGAAGUUGCCUUGCCCAAUGCAGCAGCUGGCAGUCACACAGGGCUGCUGAGCACUUGAAAUGUGACUAGCUUGAAUUGAGAUGUGU
Long non-coding RNA from Equus caballus (horse), 3128 nucleotides. RefSeq lists it as uncharacterized. Lineage: Eukaryota; Metazoa; Chordata; Mammalia; Perissodactyla; Equidae. The record is from RefSeq and is a predicted model, not a curated record.